CUGCCUUCCUCCUUCGUCCUUCAUCUGGACUUCCUGAGGCUGCCUCCCCAAGGCCACUUGGCCAAGCAAGCAGCCACCCCCUUGUCCCUUUCUCACCCAGCCGUUGGCAGCAUCUGACAUGGUUCCGCUUCCUCCCUGAAACAGUGCUUUCUCUCAGAUUCCAGGACGACACACUCUCUUGGUGGAAGGGGACUUGUCAUCUCUCUCAUCUGCUCAGCCUCCCCUCCCCUCCCCUCUCUCCGCAGACCACCUGCUCUGGCCUCCUGGCUUCGAACACCAUCUCUGCUGAUGGCUUCUGAUGGCUCUCUCCCUUGGGGGGCCUUCCAGGAGCACUCCCCGGUCCAAGCCACGUCACCGUCAUCGCUGCCUCGGACGACGGAGCAGCCUGCCGACCAGCCUGCCCUCGGUGUCGCCACCAGAGCCAUCACUUACUUAAGGGAUUUAAAUGGCAACUCUAUGUCUCCCUUCCUUUCUCUUCUUCUUUUAACUUUUCAUCAUGGAAAUUUCCAGACAGGCACAGAGAGGGAGUAAGUAGCGGACCCUGCUGCCCCCACCAACCAUAUUAUAUAGAAUGACACGCUGUCCUGUGGCAUCUUUCCCCACAUCACCUUCCCCUCAUGCUGAAGGGAAUCGGCAUGGGUGCCUGGCUGGAUCACAUGGGACUCUUAAUCUUGAGUCGUGAGUUCAAGCCCCACAUUCGUUAGGUAUGGAGCCUACUUAGGAAAAGAAAAGGAAAAAGAAAAGGAAAAAGAAAAAGAAAAAGAAAAAGAAAAAGAAAAAGAAAAAAGUGAGCCCCAGACAGCAUUCCACUUCACCUGUAAAGACUUCAGUGUAACAAAAUAAUGUUUAAACCCGAAACCAGAUGACAUUAUUCCGCUGAGCACCCUCCACCUCCUUGCGGGCCGUGUGCUCCUGGCCGGUCCGGUCCCACUGUCUCUUUCACUGUCCCCUUGCCCUUCUGUUGUCCAUGCUCGCCAGCUUCUCCCUGUCCAGGGGCUUUGCGGUCCCUCCUCCCGCUGACUGGAUCCCCCAUUUCCCAGAUUUUUCAUGAACGUUUCCCUCCGGCCACGUGCAUCCUUGGUCCACAUUUGGAUGUUUUUUUUCCCGCUGCAGUGAGAAGCCACCGAGGGACCUAGGCGGCUGGGGGAGGGCGGUAAUCAUGAUCUGGGUUGUAUUUUUAAAUCAUCCUUCUGGCUGCUUUGGAGGAUGAGUUGUGGGUGGGGGUCAGGGAGCAGGAAGACCGUACUCUGAGGUAAUUAAAUGAGAUUAUAGCCAUAAGGCACUCAAAGUCUGGUAAAUAGUAAGUGCUCAAUCCCUGUGCUGCAUAGACAUUGGUCUCUCUUGUUUUGAAGCAAAGUUGUCGAUAUAA
RNAcentral lists this long non-coding RNA (1369 nucleotides) under Ursus thibetanus thibetanus. RNAcentral's name for it is "lncRNA (ENSUTTG00000019534.1)". Lineage: Eukaryota; Metazoa; Chordata; Mammalia; Carnivora; Ursidae. The record is from RNAcentral.